CCUACGGGAGGCAGCAGUGGGGGAUAUUGCACAAUGGGGGAAACCCUGAUGCAGCGACGCCGCGUGAGUGAAGAAGUAUUUCGGUAUGUAAAGCUCUAUCAGCAGGGAAGAAAAUGAUGGUACUAGAUUAAGAAGCCGCGGCUAACAACGUGCCAGCAGCCGCGGCAAUACGUAGGGGGCAAGCGUUAUCCGGCAUUACUGGUUGUAAAGGGAGCGUAGACGGCAGCACAAGGCUGGAGUGAAAGGCCGGGGCUUAACCCCCGAACUGCUUUGGAAACUGUGCAGCUAGAGUGCAGGAGAGGUAAGUGGAAUUCCUAGUGUAGCGGUGAAAUGCGUAGAUAUUAGGAGGAACACCAGUGGCGAAGGCGGCCUACUGGACUGUAACUGACGUUGAGGCUCGAAAGCGUGGGGAGCAAACAGGAUUAGAUACCCGUGUAGUC
RNAcentral lists this ribosomal RNA (440 nucleotides) under uncultured bacterium. Its description in RNAcentral is "partial 16S ribosomal RNA". It matches the Rfam family "Bacterial small subunit ribosomal RNA", at positions 338 to 795 of the family's 1533-position model. The record is from RNAcentral.